GCCACGAGAGUACACCGAACGAAGGAGACA
This 30-nucleotide non-coding RNA is filed under the name Homo sapiens (human). Lineage: Eukaryota; Metazoa; Chordata; Mammalia; Primates; Hominidae. The record is from RNAcentral.